RNAcentral lists this long non-coding RNA (681 nucleotides) under Pan troglodytes (chimpanzee). RNAcentral's name for it is "lncRNA (ENSPTRG00000053265.1)". Lineage: Eukaryota; Metazoa; Chordata; Mammalia; Primates; Hominidae. The record is from RNAcentral.
CAGGCUGCUGGUAUGUUUCAGCAUUGACAGGAGCAAUUGCCUUUUUUUCAGGUUUCAUUUCAACCCCAUGUUUUGGGAACUGUUUGGACCAGACUAAUCAGCUCUAAAUUCUGGAAUCUUCCACCUUCUUUAUCUUCAAAGGGAUGGUUAUAUAUUCUGGCUAAGAUUGCGGAGCCGGAAGAGAAAGAGUCGUCAGGAACACGUUGGAACCAGAUUCAGGGCAUGAUAUGUACCCAGGGGGUCAUAAUGAAGCCUGGGCUGGAAAAAGAGUUUGAUAGUUCAACUUUCAUGAAAAAUGUGCAGUGGAAAGGAGUGAAAAAUCUGGUUUCCUUCUCCACUGUUUUCCAUUUCAGGAGGCCAUUACAUUAAUGCCUUCAGCUUUUUGCACAGCACAUAUUGCUUUGAUGGACGCUUUGAAAUAUCUGGUCGUUAUAACUCAGUCACUCAAGACACCUCACUUAAAAAUUCUAGUUAUGGAAUAAUUGUGAUGCCAUAGGAAGAAAAUUAAGCACGCUGUCUACUCUUGGGAAAUGUUAACAAAUGCCUGUGCAUACUGUGAAGAGUCCACGGGGAAGAAAAUGAGCCACACAAGGUCAGAAUAACUUACUAUGCUGUUAAUAAUAUCUUCCUGGUUAUUGAGGGGCUAUUCAUUUUUAUUAAAUAACAAAACACUGAGGCAUU